RNAcentral lists this ribosomal RNA (676 nucleotides) under uncultured bacterium. RNAcentral's name for it is "bacterial SSU rRNA". It matches the Rfam family "Bacterial small subunit ribosomal RNA", at positions 139 to 813 of the family's 1533-position model. The record is from RNAcentral.
GGGGACAACCCGCCGAAAGGCGGGCUAAACCCGCGUACAUGCCACCGGGGCAUCCCGGAGGCAGGAAAGGCUUCGGCCGGACAGGGAUGGGCAUGCGGCGCAUUAGGCAGUAGGCGGGGUAACGGCCCACCUAACCGACGAUGCGUAGGGGUUCUGAGAGGAAGGUCCCCCACACUGGUACUGAGACACGGACCAGACUCCUACGGGAGGCAGCAGUGAGGAAUAUUGGUCAAUGGCCGGGAGACUGAACCAGCCAAGCCGUGUGAGGGAGGAAGGUACAGAGUAUCGUAAACCUCUUUUGUCAGGGAACAAAGACUGGGACGCGUCCCCGGAUGAGUGUACCUGAAGAAAAAGCAUCGGCUAACUCCGUGCCAGCAGCCGCGGUAAUACGGAGGAUGCGAGCGUUAUCCGGAUUUAUUGGGUUUAAAGGGUGCGCAGGCGGUCUGUUAAGUCAGCGGUCAAAGCCCGGGGCUCAACCCCGGCCCGCCGUUGAAACUGGCAGUCUCGAGUUGGAGAGAAGUAUGCGGAAUGCGCGGUGUAGCGGUGAAAUGCAUAGAUAUCGCGCAGAACUCCGAUUGCGAAGGCAGCAUGCCGGCUCCACACUGACGCUGAGGCACGAAAGCGUGGGUAUCGAACAGGAUUAGAUACCCUGGUAGUCCACGCAGUAAACGAUGAA